This 860-nucleotide ribosomal RNA is filed under the name Stegonsporium galeatum. Its description in RNAcentral is "LSU rRNA". It matches the Rfam family "Eukaryotic large subunit ribosomal RNA", at positions 56 to 948 of the family's 3401-position model. The record is from RNAcentral. Lineage: Eukaryota; Fungi; Ascomycota; Sordariomycetes; Diaporthales; Stilbosporaceae.
GAAAAGAAACCAACAGGGAUUGCCCUAGUAACGGCGAGUGAAGCGGCAACAGCUCAAAUUUGAAAUCUGGCCUCGGCCCGAGUUGUAAUUUGCAGAGGAUGCUUUUGGCGCGGUGCCUUCCGAGUUCCCUGGAACGGGACGCCACAGAGGGUGAGAGCCCCGUAUGGUUGGACACCAAGCCUGUGUAAAGCUCCUUCGACGAGUCGAGUAGUUUGGGAAUGCUGCUCAAAAUGGGAGGUAAAUCUCUUCUAAAGCUAAAUACCGGCCAGAGACCGAUAGCGCACAAGUAGAGUGAUCGAAAGAUGAAAAGCACCUUGAAAAGGGGGUUAAACAGUACGUGAAAUUGUUGAAAGGGAAGCGCUUGUGACCAGACUUGCGCCUGGCGGCUCAUCCGGGGUUCUCUCCGGUGCACUCCGCCAGGCUCAGGCCAGCAUCGGUUCUCGCGGGGGGAUAAGAUUGGCGGGAACGUAGCACCCUCCGGGGUGUGUUAUAGCCCGCCGAACGAUACCCUCGCGGGGACCGAGGUUCGCGCUCCGCAAGGAUGCUGGCGUAAUGGUCAUCAGCGACCCGUCUUGAAACACGGACCAAGGAGUCGUCCAUUAUAGCGAGCGUUUGGGUGUAAAACCCGCACGCGUAAUGAAAGUGAAAUUAGGUGAGAGCUUCGGCGCAUCAUCGACCGAUCCUGAUGUUCUCGGAAGGAUUUGAGUAAGAGUUAUAACGGACGGACCCGAAAGACAGUGAACUAUGCUUGUAUAGGGUGAAGCCAGAGGAAACUCUGGUGGAGGCUCGCAGCGGUUCUGACGUGCAAAUCGAUCGUCAAAUAUGAGCAUGGGGGCGAAAGACUAAUCGAACUGUCUAGU